UGGGGGUGGAUGAUGGGAGGAAUCACUCAAUAAUUAUCCUGUUCUAUUGAUUCCCUCUGAAGCACCUGGCAUUGGUUAUCUUUGGGAGACAGGAUACUGGGCUAGAUGGACCAUUGGUCUGACCCUUUAUGGCUGUUCUUAUGUU
This is a long non-coding RNA of Chelonia mydas (Green sea turtle), 145 nucleotides long. RefSeq lists it as uncharacterized. NCBI's taxonomy places the organism in Eukaryota, Metazoa, Chordata, Testudines, Cheloniidae. The transcript has 3 exons. The record is from RefSeq and is a predicted model, not a curated record.